GAGAAAAUGGCCACGGCACUCGCUGCCGCCGGCUCCGGUCCAUGCGCGCGCCCUGCGCCGGGCUGUACCGCGGCCAGAACGCCCUAUAGGCACGGUAACGCGCAGUGGCACCGUGCCACCCCGCGCCGAGUGCCGGGGCAGGGAGAAGCUCACAGCAGGGCCAGCCCGCGCCCCCCCCGUCCUCCAGAGAGACCGUGGAGCUGCCAGCACCGCCAGCACCUCGUGCCACUGCCGCCCGUGGGCAUCGUGCGCCCCGCAGGGGGGUUUCCUAUAGGAAGGAGCGUGCCGGGCGUUAUCACCCCGCUAUAGGGGCGGUGAUGCGUGCGGCCCCGCCAGGGCUCAGCAGGGAGCUGCCGCACGGCGUGGCCGCUAUAGCAGACGGGGAUCGGUGCUGCCAGCCCCUAUAAGCACCGCGCAGCCUGCACAGCCACGGGGCCCAGCGGCAGGAGGUGCUGCUAUAGGUGCCGCUAUAGGUGCCACUCCCCGUGCCGUUAUCUGUGCCGCAGCAGCCACAGCCAGCUCCUGGCGCGCGCCCGACGCUGGAGCUAUAGGGGAUGGUGGCAGCGGCCCAAAACCGCCCCGAAUUGGGCUCAAAAAAAAAAGAGAACUGGGGCGGGAGAGCGGGGCGCAGGUGUGCACGUGUCCGUGAGCACGCAGGCGUGCAAGCACACGCGUGCAGGAGGCACACAGGGCCGGCGUGCACACGCAUGGGAGCGUGCUGCAGCAGCGGGCACGCGCACAGCACCGCCGAUCCCGCGAGGCCGUCGUGCACGUGCACGCGCGUGUGCAGCCGUGUGCACGCGCCAGGCAGCAGUUGGUGGCGCGGAGCCUGGCGGCAAUGCCGGCGGCGGUGGCGGCCUGGAGGCACGAGCGGGCGGAGGCUCGGGAGCGGAGCCUGCGGGAGGCCGCCCGGAGGCAGCGGCUGCUGGCGGAGGCAGGGGCGCGCCUGGGGGCCCCCCCCCGUGCCGGAGACCCCCGGGCCCAAGCGCUGCUGCAGGAGCUGGAGCGGGACGAACGGCGCCGGGAGAAGCGGCAGCGGCGGCAGGAGCGGGAAGAGGCUGCCCGCAGUGCCCUGGCCGCCGCCGAGGCCGCCGCCGCCUCUCAGCGCCCCCCCCCCAGUGGGAGCAGGGUGGGGGAGGCCCCCCUGGAGCGCUCGUGAACAGAGACUUCCCCCCCCCCCAAAAAAAAACACAAAAACCAAAACAAAACCAGGGGUGUUCUCCCAAAAAAAGGAGUUGUUUCCCCAAAAUCGCUAGGAGGGUGCUGGGCUGACUGCCCCCCCUGCCCAAAAGACCUUGUUUUUCCC
Molecule: long non-coding RNA, 1306 nt
Filed under: Cairina moschata (Muscovy duck)
Lineage: Eukaryota; Metazoa; Chordata; Aves; Anseriformes; Anatidae
Description: domestica (muscovy Duck (domestic type)) lncRNA (ENSCMMG00000013103.1)
Source: RNAcentral